RNAcentral lists this ribosomal RNA (356 nucleotides) under Wohlfahrtia magnifica. RNAcentral describes it as "partial small subunit ribosomal RNA". The record is from RNAcentral. Lineage: Eukaryota; Metazoa; Arthropoda; Insecta; Diptera; Sarcophagidae.
UUAAACUAGGAUUAGAUACCCUAUUAUUUAAAAUGUAAAUAAUAAAGCUAAGGUAGUAGUAGUUAUGUUCUUGAAACUUAAAAAAUUUGGCGGUAUUUUAGUCUAUUCAGAGGAACCUGUUCUGUAAUCGAUAAUCCACGAUGGACCUUACUUAAGUUUGUAAUCAGUUUAUAUACCGUCGUUAUUAGAAUAUUUUACAAGAAUGUUAAUUUUCUAAAUUUUUUUAAGAAAGUAUAUCAGAUCAAGGUGUAGCUAAUAUUUAAGUAGAAAUGGGUUACAAUAAAUUUAUUUAUACGGAUAUAAAUUUGAAAUAUUUAUUGAAGGUGGAUUUGAUAGUAAAAUUAUAAAGAUAAAUA